RNAcentral lists this ribosomal RNA (255 nucleotides) under Brevibacillus laterosporus. RNAcentral's name for it is "partial 16S ribosomal RNA". It matches the Rfam family "Bacterial small subunit ribosomal RNA", at positions 96 to 344 of the family's 1533-position model. The record is from RNAcentral. Lineage: Bacteria; Bacillati; Bacillota; Bacilli; Caryophanales; Paenibacillaceae.
CGGCGGACGGGUGAGUAACACGUAGGCAACCUGCCUGUAAGACUGGGAUAACAUAGGGAAACUUAUGCUAAUACCGGAUAGGGUUUUGCUUCGCCUGAAGCGAAACGGAAAGAUGGCGCAAGCUAUCGCUUACAGAUGGGCCUGCGGCGCAUUAGCUAGUUGGUGAGGUAAUGGCUCACCAAGGCGACGAUGCGUAGCCGACCUGAGAGGGUGACCGGCCACACUGGGACUGAGACACGGCCCAGACUCCUACGG